UACGUAGGGGGCAAGCGUUGUCCGGAUUUAUUGGGCGUAAAGAGCGUGUAGGCGGUUUGGUAGGUCCGCUGUGAAAACUCGAGGCUCAACCUCGAGACGCCGGUGGAAACCAUCAGACUAGAGUCCGGAAGAGGAGAGUGGAAUUCCUGGUGUAGCGGUGAAAUGCGCAGAUAUCAGGAAGAACACCCGUGGCUAAGGCGGCUCUCUAGUACGGUACUGACGCUGAGACGCGAAAGCGUGGGGAGCUAACAGG
This 253-nucleotide ribosomal RNA is filed under the name uncultured bacterium. RNAcentral describes it as "partial 16S ribosomal RNA". It matches the Rfam family "Bacterial small subunit ribosomal RNA", at positions 524 to 776 of the family's 1533-position model. The record is from RNAcentral.